UACGGAGGGUGCAAGCGUUAUCCGGAUUCACUGGGUUUAAAGGGUGUGUAGGCGGGUAUUUAAGUCAGUGGUGAAAUCUCCGGGCUCAACCCGGAAACUGCCAUUGAUACUAUUUAUCUUGAAUUCUGUUGAGGUGGGCGGAAUAUAUCAUGUAGCGGUGAAAUGCUUAGAUAUGAUAUAGAACACCGAUUGCGAAGGCAGCUCACUAAACAGACAUUGACGCUGAGGCACGAAAGCGUGAGGAUCAAACAGGAUUAGAUACCCUGGUAGUCCACGCCCUAAACGAUGAUUACUCGACAUACGCGAUAUUACUGUGUGUGUCUGAGCGAAAGCAUUAAGUAAUCCACCUGGGAAGUACGUCCGCAAGGAUGAA
This 373-nucleotide ribosomal RNA is filed under the name uncultured bacterium. RNAcentral describes it as "bacterial SSU rRNA". It matches the Rfam family "Bacterial small subunit ribosomal RNA", at positions 524 to 898 of the family's 1533-position model. The record is from RNAcentral.